UACGGAAAGCAGCAGUGGGGAAUAUUGCACAAUGGGCGCAAGCCUGAUGCAGCCAUGCCGCGUGUAUGAAGAAGGCCUUCGGGUUGUAAAGUACUUUCAGUCGUGAGGAAGGUGUUAAGGUUAAUAACCUUAGCAAUUGACGUUAGCGACAGAAGAAGCACCGGCUAACUCCGUGCCAGCAGCCGCGGUAAUACGGAGGGUGCGAGCGUUAAUCGGAAUUACUGGGCGUAAAGGGCACGCAGGCGGUUAAUUAAGUUGGAUGUGAAAUCCCCGGGCUUAACCUGGGAAUGGCAUUCAAGACUGGUUAGCUAGAGUCUUGUAGAGGGGGUAGAAUUCCAUGUGUAGCGGUGAAAUGCGUAGAGAUGUGGAGGAAUACCGGUGGCGAAGGCGGCCCCUGGACAAAGGCUGACGCUCAUGUGCGAAAGCGUGGGGAGCAAACAGGGAUUAGAU
This 450-nucleotide ribosomal RNA is filed under the name uncultured bacterium. RNAcentral's name for it is "bacterial SSU rRNA". It matches the Rfam family "Bacterial small subunit ribosomal RNA", at positions 340 to 783 of the family's 1533-position model. The record is from RNAcentral.